This is a long non-coding RNA of Hylaeus volcanicus, 1278 nucleotides long. RefSeq lists it as uncharacterized. The transcript is spliced from 2 exons. The record is from RefSeq and is a predicted model, not a curated record. NCBI's taxonomy places the organism in Eukaryota, Metazoa, Arthropoda, Insecta, Hymenoptera, Colletidae.
AAAAAAAAAAAGCGUUUAAUUUUGUUAAUUAUUUUUUUUGUCCUUUUUUUUUUUUUAAUCGUGAUAACUUAAAGUUUUCUUAAAAUUAGAAAGAAACUAGUUUUUAAGGUAACUUAAUUGACGUGUUUUAAUAAUAAUCAAUCGUUUAGUAUAAUAGGAUUGUCAUAAUCUGUAGUGUUGGUUUCGUUAAAUAAUUUAUUACCGUUUGUUAUUCCUAUGUAAAUUAUAACUGUAAAUGUUUCAGCAUAUCCUUAAUAAAUUUUCACCCUGUUUUCAUAAAUUAGUAAAUAUUUAAAUAAGUUACCCAUCCUUUGACUCCGUUCGCUUAUAAGUUUUCAAUAGCUGAAGCAAUUUUGAUCAUAUCACUUUAAUAGAAUGGUUCUAUAAUCAACAAGAAACUAACAAAUAAUGUUUUUGUUUUUGUACACCGACCAAGGUAUUUUUUUUACCAAACAAAACUUCAACUAUUCAUUUAAAAAGAAGUAUACUGAUAUUACCUUAUUUUGAAUGAAAUCUACACGGAAACGACAACUAUUGCGAACUGCCCCAUGACAUUCUACGCCUUGUGCACCUAUACCUACCAUAUAAAUUACGUAACGUAAAAUCACUCUCGAGACUGACAUUUCUUGUUUUGUCAAUGUUCAUUGACGGUACUCAACCUGUUCUUUACGCCAACACAUACAACUUUUGUCAAUCUACUAGUUAAAUUUUUUUUUUUCCUAUAUAUCGUUCAUGCAACGUAAACUUCGAUGUUGCGGAAAAAAAUUUCCAAUAAAUAUAAGGUGUUAACACCAUAAAUUUAACCUAAAAUAUUUUGAAAUGUUUGCAAACAUACAUUCACAUCAACAAGGGACUGGACAUACACGUCAUAUUUUUCUUAGCACUUUCACUAGUGAGAUAAUAAAACAAAAACGACUUUUCCUCUUCAAUGUUAACAAUUCUCAAGCAAAUUAUAUGGAUUUGUUAAUUGUAAGUAUGCAUUUUUUUAAAAAAAUUAUUAAAAAAAACAAACAUUUGCUCUAAAUUCACAUAAUAGUAUUUAGGCAUAAAGAAUAAAACAUUUACUUGUAGUUCUCUUUUCUAGUCACGGCACGGCAAAAAUUGUUUUGGAAUACUUGACCACACCGUGAAAAAUUUUCUAGGUGUCAAUCAAAAUUUCCUAAAAAUUUUUUUUUUUAAUUCGUUACAUGUACUUUCUUUUUUCGUUGUAGUAAUUUAAAAAACUACUUAGCCGCAGUGUAGACUGGUAAACGAAUGUAAAUCGACUAUUAAUAAGAA